UACGUAGGGUGCGAGCGUUAAUCGGGAUUACUGGGCGUAAAGCGUGCGUAGGCGGUCCGCAAAGUCUGAUGUGAAAGCCCCGGGCUCAACCUGGGAACUGCAUUGGAAACUAACGGGCUCGAGUGUGGCAGAGGGGGGUGGAAUUCCACGUGUAGCAGUGAAAUGCGUAGAGAUGUGGAGGAACACCGAUGGCGAAGGCAGCCCCCUGGGCUAACACUGACGCUCAGGCACGAAAGCGUGGGGAGCAAACAGG
Molecule: ribosomal RNA, 253 nt
Filed under: uncultured bacterium
Lineage: Bacteria
Description: partial 16S ribosomal RNA
Rfam family: Bacterial small subunit ribosomal RNA
Source: RNAcentral